Molecule: ribosomal RNA, 901 nt
Filed under: uncultured bacterium
Lineage: Bacteria
Description: bacterial SSU rRNA
Rfam family: Bacterial small subunit ribosomal RNA
Source: RNAcentral
ACGCUGCGGCGUGGAUUAGGCAUGCAAGUCGAACGAGAAAGGUUUUCGGGAACUGAGUAGAGUGGCAAACGGGUGAGUAACGCGUGGGAAACCUUCCCUUUUGUUGGGGAUAACAAUCUAACGGUGUGCUAAUACCGAAUAAGAUCAUUUCAUCGCAUGAUGAUUUGAUGAAAGGCGGCCUCUGUUUUCAAGCUGUCGCAGAAGGAUGGUCCCGCGUUCCAUUAGCUUGUUGGUGGGGUAACGGCUCACCAAGGCGACGAUGGAUAGCCGGCCUUAGCGGGUGACCGGCCACACUGGGAGUGAGAUACGGCCCAGACUCCUACGGGAGGCAGCAGUCGAGAGGCUUCCACAAUGGGGGAAACCCUGAUGGAGCGACGCCGCGUGGGUGAUGAAGGUUUUCGGAUCGUAAAGCCCUUUCAGCAGUGAAGAAGGAAUCCGGUGUUAAUAUCACCGGAUUCAAGACGGUAUCUGCAGAAGAAGCUCCGGCUAACUCCGUGCCAGCAGCCGCGGUAAGACGGGGGGAGCGAGCGUUGUUCGGAUUUACUGGGCGUAAAGGGCGUCUAGGCGGGCCAGUAAGUCAGGUGUGAAAUCCCCCGGCUUAACCGGGGACUGCACUUGAUACUGCUGUCUUGAGUUCGGAAGAGGGAAGUGGAAUUCCUGGUGUAGCGGUGAAAUGCGUAGAUAUCAGGAAGAACACCGGUGGCGAAGGCGGCUUCCUGGUCCGAUACUGAGCGUAAGCGCGAAAGUGUGGGUAGCAAACAGGAUUAGAUACCCUGGUUGCCACACUGUAAAACGGUGGAUACUAGGUGUCGGGGAUCAACCCCUUCGGUGCCGAAGCUAACCAUUAUUCCCCGCCUGGGGAGUACGGUUCGCAAGGCUUGAAACUCAAGACAAUUGAAGC